This is a long non-coding RNA of Brassica rapa (field mustard), 307 nucleotides long. RefSeq lists it as uncharacterized. NCBI's taxonomy places the organism in Eukaryota, Viridiplantae, Streptophyta, Magnoliopsida, Brassicales, Brassicaceae. The record is from RefSeq and is a predicted model, not a curated record.
UAUAAUCUUUUAAUUCGUUUUAAAAUUUAUAACCACAUUAUACAUUUGUAUUAAUUUAUGAUAAACUCGUUUUCAUGGAACAUGGACAUCGUUCUAAUUUUUUAUCCAUUAAUUUAGCAAAACUGCAAAUACUCCCUAAAUCAUUGGACUAACCACUAUAAAAUUGCUAUUUCCUAGAGAAACGGAGACAACAAAGGUUCCAAACCUCUUUGAACUUCAUCAUAUUUUAUUACAUGAUUCAAAUAUGUAUUAAAACAGUAUUUUCAAUUUUUUUGAGUUUUUCUCAAAAUCUAUGUGUUAACCCCUA